This 73-nucleotide transfer RNA is filed under the name Ovis aries (sheep). It matches the Rfam family "tRNA". Rfam says of the family: Transfer RNA (tRNA) molecules are approximately 80 nucleotides in length. The record is from Rfam by way of RNAcentral. Lineage: Eukaryota; Metazoa; Chordata; Mammalia; Artiodactyla; Bovidae.
UCCCUGGUAGUCCAGUGGUUUGGACUCUGUGCUUCCACUUCAGGGGGUACAGGUUCAAACCCUGGUCCAGGAA